This is a long non-coding RNA of Homo sapiens (human), 477 nucleotides long. NCBI's taxonomy places the organism in Eukaryota, Metazoa, Chordata, Mammalia, Primates, Hominidae. The record is from Ensembl.
ACAAUUUGAGGAAUGAUUUGAAGGAGAUAAUGAAGCCAUGCAGGAAGCAUAGCUGCAUCUGCUUCUGGGGAAGCCUCAAAAAACUUCCAAUCAUGACAGAAGGCAAAGGGGGAGCAAGACUUCUCACAUCGUGGGAGCAGGAGCAAGAGAGAGUGAGGGGCCCCAUGCUACACACUUUCAAACAACCAGAUCUCGUGAGACAUAUAUUAGGAGAACAGCACCAAGGGGAUAGUGCUAAAUCAUUCAUGAAGAAUCCACCCUCAUGAUGCAAUCACCUCCCACCAUGCUACCCCUCCAACACUGGGGAUUACAACUGGACAUGAUAUUUGGGUGGAGACAUAGAUCCAAACCAUAUCAUCAGGCAAAGCCAUUUCUUCAAGGAAACUAAAUUUCUGCUUAUACUUAAUCAAAGGUAAACAUGUGCAAGGUUUAGAAGAUUCAUAAGGGAAAUCAACCGAGAUAAAACAGCAUUCUGAA